Molecule: long non-coding RNA, 1069 nt
Filed under: Oryzias javanicus (javanese ricefish)
Lineage: Eukaryota; Metazoa; Chordata; Actinopteri; Beloniformes; Adrianichthyidae
Description: lncRNA (ENSOJAG00000017989.1)
Source: RNAcentral
AUGGAGAGGGAGAGGGAGCGGGAGAGGGAGCGGGAGAUGCACGCGGCCGGUCUGGAUGUUUGUGGGAACAUUGUGGGUCGAGGAGUGAGCGAGAAGACCAGUGUUGGCGUGAACCACCACCAUAACAGAGAGAUGGCCGCCGCCAGAACUGACAGUGAAAACAAUCUGGCCAGCCAUAACCCUCCAAACCACAACCCACCCAAGAUCAUGGCAGUGUCAGGAAAACUGGAGCAGGCAAUGCAGAGCAGCUCUGGUCUAGUUCGUCCGUCUGCCUUUAAGCCGGUGGUUCCUAAAAGCUUCCACUCCAUGCAGAACCUGGUGGGCCAGGCGGGAGGGGCCGGGGGCGAGGGAAAGGCUGAGGCCAGAGGUGAAGGGUUUGCAGAGGGCAGAGUAGGUAGGAGAGGCAGAGAUGGAGGAGGAGGAGGAGGAGCAGUAGACACAGGGGAGGUGCCAGAGGCCCUUCUCCUGGACCAGGACAGUCCAGUCAGGGUGAGCAGGAGUGAAGGAGGGGGGAACAGUAUUGAAGUGGUUCAGGGAGGGAUGUCAGAUUCCUGGGAGAAAUUCCCUGACCAGCCUCCCCACAUACACCGGCUCGGGGUCAGGUUGUGGGCCCCCGGCAGUCCUGGGGCCACUCAGUGCUUCCACCAGCCACAUCAACAGGUUGGGCAUGGCUGGGGUAGCUGCAGGCCUGGACAAGCUAGAGAAACCCGGCUAUCAGGUACAGCUGCACUCGUUCAUUUUAGUUUGUUGUUGCAGGACUUUUUGUAGCAUCAUCCUAUUAUCUUCUCUCCAGAAUGGACUCAGCGCAUCAGACAGUGGGCGGUCUUCCUCUGGGAAGAGCUCCUCCUCCUAUCAGAGGCUGAGCCACCUGAGCGACGCCCCAGGACCUCUGCGCCCCUCUCCCUCCUCUGAUGACAUCAUCCAGGACCUUGAAGACCGCUUAUGGGAAAAAGAACAGGAGGUAUGAGUUGACUAGAUUGAGAAGAAUUUAAGGAUGUUUAGUUUAUGGAGCAGUUUAAAAAAAAAGAAAUGAUAGCGUGUGCAGGGGUGGACUUACCAUUAGGCAAAG